Pieris rapae (cabbage white) is the source of this 970-nucleotide long non-coding RNA. RefSeq lists it as uncharacterized. NCBI's taxonomy places the organism in Eukaryota, Metazoa, Arthropoda, Insecta, Lepidoptera, Pieridae. The record is from RefSeq and is a predicted model, not a curated record. The transcript is spliced from 4 exons.
UAGGCCGUCUGCCGAUAUUGAUGAUAGUUCUACUCCAUUGGAUGCGAUUUAAAAUAUUUUGCGAGAAUUUAAGUCGGCAAUUAAGCAAUUCUGUUAAACUCGAUAUUAGACAGAUAUUGGACAAGUACGAUGCAAUUCACGAACGGUUCAAUGAAGUCGGAUUUCCUGUAAAACUUAUGGUACUAAUCUUUGCUAUUUUUGGAAUUAUGACAAUGGUCAUACAUGAAUACCGGAUGAUCAUGAUUGCAAAUGAAGAAAUUUCAGGUCGCUCUUCUUUAAUAAUAUGGUCAUUCGUUCGUGUAUUACAUAAUCUAAUGCUAUCAUUUAGCGGUGCAGCCUUAUUUGAAGUUUGCUCAUACGAAUUGGAUCAAAUAAAACUGCGCAUCGUCAGCAAAAUUAUUACACUUUCAGAUGAAAGACAAAAGGCGGACCUGAGACAGCUUUUGGAAUAUUUAACCAUGAAUCCAAUGAAAUUCAGCGCAUUUAGUAUCAUACCAUUUAAUAUGCGGUUCCCCUUGCAAUUUCUAUCUCUUAGCCUAAAUUACUUCAUUUUCAUGUUACAAUUGACAUUCUCUACUAAAUGAAUACAAUUUGUUUGAUAAACGUUACCGGAAAAGUGAAAAAUAUAGGGAAUAAUCACUAGUCCUUUUAUUAUCUGCCACUACGUAAUCGGGGGCACGGUGAUGCCAUACGACUGAGCAUUUUCGGAUAACUCCCGAAUGUCAAAAACGUUAAUCAUUAACGAUUUUGAUAUACCGGAGUCGUGCGCUUAGAUUUGACUCUGAAUCUAAAUUUGCCUAUUACAUUAAUAUUUACGUACAUAAGUUACUGUGGAAUUUUCUGUUGAAGAGGUUGUCAACCUAUAUAAAACAAUUUAUAUGCUUGAUGCACAUAAGAUUUUACCACUAAUUUUAAUAUUAAAAACGCGUUUAAAUAUAAUUGUAUUGAGAAUAAAUAAGUGUUCAUGAUA